This 199-nucleotide long non-coding RNA is filed under the name Elaeis guineensis (African oil palm). Its description in RNAcentral is "long non-coding RNA (EGUI_LNC040225)". Lineage: Eukaryota; Viridiplantae; Streptophyta; Magnoliopsida; Arecales; Arecaceae. The record is from RNAcentral.
GCCAUGAUUGGUCUCUUGCUAUUUCUACACCACUGAGGACUGAACACUCCAAAUCCUCGAUCAAGGCUAAGGAUAAAAUCAAUUGAGGCCGAGAUGAUGGUCCACAACAAAAUGGAAUUAAAGAUUUUCAUAAAGAAGUCCCAAGAGAAGAAAUGGAAUCAGAUACUCCAUAACUUUAAUGCGUAACCCCUGCCCUCAC